This 253-nucleotide ribosomal RNA is filed under the name uncultured bacterium. RNAcentral's name for it is "partial 16S ribosomal RNA". It matches the Rfam family "Bacterial small subunit ribosomal RNA", at positions 524 to 776 of the family's 1533-position model. The record is from RNAcentral.
UACGUACGAGGCGAGCGUUAUCCGGAAUUACUGGGCGUAAAGCGCGCGCAGGCGGACCAUUAAGUUGGGCGUGAAAUCUCCCGGCCUAACUGGGAGGGGUCGCCCAAGACUGGUGGUCUUGAGGACAGCAGAGGUGGGUGGAAUUCCCGGUGUAGUGGUGAAAUGCGUAGAGAUCAGGAGGAACACCGGUGGCGAAGGCGGCCCACUGGGCUGUCACUGACGCUGAGGCGCGAAAGCUCGGGGAGCGAACGGG